Molecule: ribosomal RNA, 429 nt
Filed under: Chloroflexota bacterium
Lineage: Bacteria; Bacillati; Chloroflexota
Also listed under: 1 other name
Description: Chloroflexi bacterium partial 16S ribosomal RNA
Rfam family: Bacterial small subunit ribosomal RNA
Source: RNAcentral
UAGGGAAUCUUCGGCAAUGGACGAAAGUCUGACCGAGCAACGCCGCGUGAGUGAAGAAGGUUUUCGGAUCGUAAAACUCUGUUGUUAGAGAAGAACAAGGACGUUAGUAACUGAACGUCCCCUGACGGUAUCUAACCAGAAAGCCACGGCUAACUACGUGCCAGCAGCCGCGGUAAUACGUAGGUGGCAAGCGUUGUCCGGAUUUAUUGGGCGUAAAGCGAGCGCAGGCGGUUUCUUAAGUCUGAUGUGAAAGCCCCCGGCUCAACCGGGGAGGGUCAUUGGAAACUGGGAGACUUGAGUGCUGAAGAGGAGAGUGGAAUUCCAUGUGUAGCGGUGAAAUGCGUAGAUAUAUGGAGGAACACCAGUGGCGAAGGCGGCUCUCUGGUCUGUAACUGACGCUGAGGCUCGAAAGCGUGGGGAGCAAACAGG